AAAAAAAGAACAAGCAGCAAAUGACCACCACACUACAUCCUGGAGACUGAGGCCGGGGCUGUGUCUCCAAUUGCCUUUAUACCGGGGUCCGUGGGAGGAGCCUCAGGAGCAGUCAGCAGAGGGGGGCGUGUCCAGACAGGUAUAUGUAGUUCACCACACUGACCCCCACUCCUUCCCCUCAACUCUUUUUACUGGCUAUCUCCCCUCUGACUUUAGUCACAACACAAAACAUUGACAGUCCAUUUUCCUCGCAGAUGUUGUCUAACGCAUUGAGUUUCUGCAGGAACUAGUUUUUCGCUCCAGAUUCCAACAUCUGUGCUCUCUUUUGUCUCUGUGAAGCUCAUUGGUCUCUCCCUCGCUCUCCAUCAGAAUCAGAUUUAAUAUCACCAGUAUACAUCAUGAAAUUUGUUGUCUUUGCAGCAACAGUACAAUGCAAUACAUGAUAAUAGAAACAAAACUGGGAAUUACUGUAAAUAUAUAAUUGAAUUGACUUUAUUACUUACAUCCUUUUUAUGCACAAGGAGUAAAAAUCCUUCCAUUACGUCUCUAAAUAUGCAAUGUGUAAUUUAUAGUAAUUUGUAAUAAACAUUAUGUACAACAGGAUAGUCCAUAUAACAUAGACAUACAGUUGUGUCAGCAUGAAUUAAUCAGUCUGAUGGCCUGGUGGAAGAAGCUGUCCCGGAGCCUGUUAGUCCUGGCUUUUAUGCUGUGGUACCGUUUUCUGGAUGGUAUCAGCUGGAACAGUUUGUGGUUGGGAUGACUCGGGUCCCCAAUGAUCCUUCGGCCCUUUUUGCACACCUGUCCUUGUAACUAUCCUGAAUAGUGGGAAAUUCACAUCUGCAGAUAUGCUGGGCAGUCCAUACCACUCUCUGCAGAGUCCUGCGAUUGAGGGAAGUACAGUUCCCAUACCAAGCAAUGAUGCAGCCAGUCAGGAUGCUCUCAAUUGUGCCCCUAUAGAAAGUUCUUAGGAUUUGGGAACCCACACCAAACUUUUUCAAGCAUUUGAGGUGGAAGAGGCUCUGUUGUGCCUUUUUCACUACACAGCCGGUAUGUACAGACCUCGUGAGGUCCUCGGUGAUGUUUAUGCCAAGGAACUUAAAGGUGUUCAUCCUCUCAACCCUAGAUCCAUUGGUGUCAAUAGGGGUUAGCCUGUCUCCAUUCCUCUAGUAGUCCACAACCAGCUCCUUAGUUUCUGCGACAUUGAGGGAGAGGUUGUUUUCUUGACACCCUUGUGUCAGGGUGAUGACUUCUUUUCUGUGGGCUGCCUCGUUAUUAUUUUAGAUUCAGCCAAUCAGUAUAAUGUCAUCAGCAAAUUUAAGUAGCAGAUUGGAGCUGUGGGUGGGAAUACAGUCAUGGGUAUACAGAGAGUAAAGGAGAGGGCUUAGGACACAGCCCUGAGGGGCUCCUGAGUUGAGGGUCAGAGGGGCAGACACAAGGGAGCCCACUCUUACCACCUGCUGGCAAUCUGACAGCAAGUCCAGGAUCCAGCUACACAGGGCCGGGUGAAGGCCGAGGUCUCUGAGCUUCUUGUCGACCUGGAGGGAAUUAUGUCAUUAAAUGCUGAACUGUAGUCCAAGAACAGCAUUCUCACAUAAGCAUCCCUCUUCUCCAGAGGUGUGAGGAGGGUGUGUAGAGCUGUGGUUACUGAGUUAUCUGUCGAUCAGUUGUGUUGGUAGGUGAAUUGUAGGGAGUCCGGUGUGGGUGGUAGAAUACUGAAAAUGUAGUCAUUAACCAGCCCCUCAAAACAUUUGCUUAUUAUUGAGGCGCGUGCAACAGGACACCAGUUGUUCAGACAUGUUACCUUGGUCUUUUUAGGUACCAGAACAAUGGUGGAUGUUUGAAGCAGGAAAGUGCUCUGUACUGGGAGAGGGAGAUAUAAAAAAUGUCUGUGAACAUGCCUGCCAGUUGUGUCCUGCGUAUCCUGAGUACCCACCCUGGGAUGCCGUCUGGUCCCGUGGCCUUGCGACUCGUUGGAAACACCUGUGUACUUCAGCCUCAGAAAUGACCAAGCUGCAGGUCGUAUCAGCUGUAUGUCUUCUCAGGGGCUCAAUGUUGGCUACAUCGAAUUGAGUGUAUAAAAGAUUUAGCUCAUCUGGGAGAGAGGUAGCGAUGUUGUAAAAUCUACUUCAUUUAGCUUUGUAGUCUGCGAUGCAGCCCUUGCCAUAAGAUACAUGUAUAUAAUAGUUAAAUUAGUUAAGCAGUCCAAAACAAUUUUUUUUUAAUGUACUGAGGUUGUGUUACUGGAUCUGACGUCCAUUCAGAAAUCGGAUGGCAGAGGGGAAGAAAGUCUUCCUGAAUUGUUGAGUGUGUGCCUUGAGGUUUCUGUACCUUCUUCCUGAUGGUAGCAUCGAGAGCAAGGCUCAAAGAUUCUGCAGAUUCACAAUUCCGUUAUUAGUCUAUUUUGCAAAAUAAAAUUCUUUCAUUUGGAAGCCAUUCAAGGUAACAGAAAAUAUUUUCCUUCCAGUGGAAACUAUCCACAGAACAAAAACAAUUCUUUUUUCAGGUUGACCAUUUCCUGGCAGAGAUUUGGAAACCCUUCCAUUAUCUUCUUUGUCAUUCUCUACACUUUCAAAGUGUUCUUUAAAACCAAUCCAAUUAACCAGCUUUCGGUCACUGUCAGCGUGUCACUUCCUUUAAGACUCUGGUGGUUACUGCACUCUGAAGUACCACAUUAGAGGCAUAACAUAAAUGGAGCUGUGAUUGUUGUUUACCACUUAAAGUUAAUGACUGCUUAAUUAAUGACUUGCAUGUGAAGAAACAGAAGUCUGAGCUUAAUACAACAGGAGAGGAGAAGCUUUCAUUAAGCAAGAGCAAUCCAACCGAGGUGGGAGUAGCAUAUUGGAAUUUUAAGGAUAAUGUUACUUUUGUGAAGAUAUCCAGAUGGUGACAACGGUGAUUCUGACUGCAGUUCUUAAUCCACUUUCUCAGUCAGCAGUCUGACAGGAGCUGAAGAGAAGAUAACCGAUUUAGAUCUUCAAGCCAGUAAUUUUUCUUCAGAAUUGGAAAUGCAUUCUGAAGAAUGACCUGAAUCACUAAUUUCUGUUCUCCAUCAAAUGCUGCCUGAACUGCUGUGUGUACUAAAUGUUUUUGCCUCAGUGUCAAUUUGGAUUUCAAAUACUUCUUCAGGAGUCUGCGGAGAUUUGGCAUGACAUCAAAAACUUUGACAAACCUCUAUAGAUACCAGUGGAGAGUAUAAUGAGAGUAUAUGGACGUAUCAAUGCCUUUGAACGGAAAAUUCAGCCCAGUAUAUAUCAUGGGCCUUCCCAACUAUUCAGCACAUCUACAUGAAAUGCUGCCGUGGGAAAGCAUCAUCCAUCAUCAAAGAUCUCCACCAGCCAGGUCAUGCUCUCUUCUCGCUGCUGCCAUCAGGUGCCUCAAUAACCUCUAGGUUCAAGAACAGUUACUACCCCUCAACAACUAGGCUCUUAAACACACAAAAUAGGAUAAUAUUUUUCCUUGAACUUUGAACUUUAAAAUCUCUAUCAGACUGGUUUCCCUUUGAUCUCAGAUGGGAACCAUAUCUGAAUUCAGCUGAUGUUUAUACUUGAACUCCAGCACCGGUGUGAAAUUGGACCAUUUUCAGGAUGAAAUUAUUCCUGUCAUUAGAAAUACAGGAAUUUUUCUUUAAGCACAGAGCAAACUGUUUUCACUGCUGCUUUGAGUGCAUUCAUUGUCCCACUCUGAUUGGAUAUCAGGGUUAUGUUGUCUGCCUGUUUUUCAACAAUUAACUUUAUCUCUGAUUGUCUUACAGACAAGCUGCAGCAGAAGAUUUAAGGUUUCAGUAUAUAAAUAGUUUUAAGCGUGCUGUCCUGCAGAUAAACUUCAUCUUUUUGGACAGAGAAGUGCCCUGCUACUUUAUAUUCUGUUGACUUUAUAGAGACCAUUAAAGUCAAGAAAGGGGGGAAAUGAAGGAAAUGAAAUUGCUAAUCUUACAACAUUGCCAAACAGUUCAGCUUGCUUAUGUUAGUAUUAAACUCAUUAAAGUGGAUUCCAGCGAAUGGUUUACUCUGGUUAAGGGUUCAAAGAUCAGAAAUCACCAGUGAACAAAGAGUGAGCUUGAAGUGUGGAGAUAAGUCAGAUGGAAAUUGUCACCCAAUUGGUAAGAGAAUUGUGGAAGGAAUUAACCAAGGUCAUUGAGGCAUGCCAGUGAAUGGGUUUCAGAGAUGAUUAGCUCUAAUUUUAGAGACAUGUAGGUCUGAUGAAUGUAAACAUUUUGCCUUUCUCUCUCUGUUGAAGAAAUAAUUCAGGGACCUUUCUCCUCAUUUGUAGAAAACAUUGGAGCGGCAAAUGACAAAGCAAUGUAGGGGUGGGCAUCAGUCCCGAACACCUGUAUUGGUAGGAUGAUGGCAGGGUAGGUGGUGCAACGUGAACAAGUAAAGAUUGUAGCCUUUGGCAUCACAGAGAUCACAAAUCAGCACAGUGAUUUAUUUUGAAAUUUGAAUGAUCCAUGGUGAUUGACAUAAAUUUGGCAAUUAUCAUAGAGUGAUGAUGUACAAGAUUCCACAGAUUGUAUCCUGUCUCAAGCCAUUAUUUAUUAAUGGGAGCUUUGAAAGCAUUUGAUGUGAAGUAGCAACAUUCUCUACAAUUGAUAUGCUCUACGUCAGUGUAUCCCAAUCUUUUUUGGCCCAAUGCCCCCAUUAAAGCACUUUCAUAUAUGCCAACACCUCUCUUAGGUUUAAUAUACUUUCCAGGACCCCCAGUGUUUAAAAGCAUGUCUAUCAUACUUUAACAUGAGAAAAAUGAUACUGCUAUAAAUUUUUAUUUGUCUUUAAAUCGGGCUUACACAGUACUCAUGUGGUGUUCAACAGCUUUGAUAUCAAUGUGAUCCUUGAGCUUAAUGGUUUUUAGCAAGAGUUGAAAUAUCUGGUUCAAGUUGUGGCAGCAAAAGCCAUGAGUAACAAUGCCUAAGUAUUUUCUGUUUUUUUUGUGAAUAUGUGAUUCUCUGCAUUGUAGCCUCGUUCAAUGAGGUAGGAGAAUCAAAAUGCAAUGAAGAGCAGUUUGCCACUUCUCCAAAGACCAGGAAACUUCAUAUGACAGUGUAGCCACAUACCACAAAAGCUGACAUUUUUGAAAAGCAUUUUUGCUUCUUUGUCAUUAUGAAUAUUGAUUAUUUCUUCUUGCAAGCUCUUUUCUUGUCUUUCCACCUUGUAAAGAAAGGUUACCCAGUCUGGAAUUUCUAAUCGUUCAAAUCUUUGAAUCGAUUCUGAAAAUCCCUCUUUAGUGACUGUAGGUGUAAGCAGUACUCUUGCAAAUUACCAUCUGUGACAGAGAGUUUUCAUACAAAGGAAAUGUAGAACAUUCUUCUCCCAAUGUUUUGCUUCUAUAUUUCCAAUUUUCCGAAAAAGUAAACACUGUCCUUUUUGCCUGGAUUAAAUUGAAAUUCUCACCCUACAGUUUCAUAUUUAGAAUGUUCAUUUUGUCAUACAGAUCAGAAUCAGAAUCAGACUUUAAUCGCCAAGUACCUGUGCACACACAAGGAAUUUACUUCCAACAGAUGUUGUCUCUCUGCUCAUAACAAUAAUAAUGAUAAAUAUAAAUGAAAAUAUAGAUUAUACAUACAGGUAGUGCAAUCCAAGUAAUAGUUAGCCGACAGUUAACCGGCAGUUAACUGUUCAGCAAAGUGACCGCAGUAGGGAAAAAACUUCUCCAGUGCCCAUUAGUCUUAGUCUGGAGGGAUCUGAAGCGCCUACCAGACGGAAGCAGUUCAAACAGUCCGUGCGCAGGAUGGAAGGAGUCCUUUAUGAUGUUCCCCGCCCUCUUCUUCAACCUGGAAGAGUACAGGUCCACAAUAGAGGGCAGGGAGGCUCCAAUGAUGCGCUCGGCAGUCCUCACUGUGCGCUGUAGUCUGGUUCUAUCCUGCUUGAUCUAUCUUGAUCGGCUAGGUAUGCCACAUCUCUGCAUAGAAGUUCAGUCUUGUUUCCCAAGUUCUUGUCAACUUUGAGGAAAUAUUCAACCACAGUGUCAAAAAAGAUCAAAGAAAUGUUUUAAGUAGCAGCCACCUUUUGGCAGCCAAUGCAAUUCAGUAGGAAGAAGCAAGUGUUGAAACUCUUCAUCGUUAUCUUGGUAGAACUGGGAAAAUAUUUUGCUUUUUAAUGGAUGAGCUUUAAUUUUAUCAAUAGCAGAUAUAACAAGAGUUAUGCUUGAAAAAUGACGCUGGCUGAAGUUUUUGGCUGCAAGAUGUUGACAAUGGAUUACAAACAGACUUGGAUUUUUUUCAUAAAUGACACUAAACCAGAAUGACGGCCUGUCAUAUAUGGUGCUCCAUCUGUUGCACAAGCAAUCACAUUCCAAAUCACUACACUUUUACCCUUAAUAUACAUAUUGAGCUCAUUGUAGGUUGAUUCUCUAUUGGUAUUUGUUUUUAACAUUUUAUAAAAGAAAAUCUCUUGGUAAACUUUUGCAUUUUUGAUCAAUUGGAUACUGUAUAUGCCAUUAGCAAUGCCUCCCUGUCUCACACGAUUGACUCAUCCAGUUGUAUCUCAAAUUCUGUGUCUUGUAGCUCUGUUCAUAGUUGAUACACAGUUCUUCACUCACUUCAUCAAUACGAUGAGCUACAGAGUUAUUAAUCAGAGGAAUUGAUUUUAUAAUACUGGCAUCCAUUUUGGGAACUGUGGCGAGCUCUUCUGAUGCAGCAAGCAUUAUUAGUCUUUCACCAAUUUUAUGAGAUUUUCCACACAUAGCUAUCAUUUUAGAAAUCUCAUAAGUAAGAAAGAGACCACUAUCAUUUUUAGCUUUCUUGGCCAAUGACUUGAGUGUGAAAUGCUUUUCAAAUGUUUCUUUCAUCUUCUGGAACUGAGUAAUACCAUGCGUAGCCUUUUCUGGGUGUCUUUUAUGGAAAUGUUCCUGCAAUCUUUAUGGUUUCAUGGCUUCAUUAGACAGUAUAGUAUUACAAAUAAAAUACAUGGGGUGUUGAUGAUCUGAUAAGAAUGGAAUAAAACCAUUCUCCAGGUAUGUAACAUUUUAUUGAUGCACUUUCUGUAGCUUUUGGCUCUUAGCAGAAUCAUGCCAUAUGUAUGUAUCCAUCAUUAAUGAGGCUAAAUUAAAAUAAAAAAUUAACACAAACUGGGAAUGCCUAUCAGAUGUUGAUGAUGACAGCGAGUUGACAUGGAUGGAAUGAUGGUAGCGGCAUGCAAAGGAAUGGCGAGGCAAAGGUGAAAAUAAUCACAACAGCGAAACUUACUUUGACAAGGAUUCAGAUUGGAAUCUGAAUGUUAGUUGGGUUAGGGUUAGGGUUAGGGUUAGGGUUAGGGUUAGGGUUAUGUUCAGCUGAUGUUGAACUGAUGUUCAUGAGCUGAUGUUCAGAAAGCUACCUUUAUACUAUUCCAGGCAGCACAAUUGAACAAUCACAUAUAGUCUCAGAAUCCCCAAAGAUGGUUUUUAACCACACAUGUGAAGCUGAAGUUGCUUUGAACAGCUCAAGGAAUCCUUAGGGUCGGCAGGUUCACUAAUUGGCUUUAUUUCACUGUUUGGUUCAGGCCAGUGCUGUAUCGUUGCAUGACUGUUUUCUGUAGAUCUAUAGAGAAAAUUGAGAGGGUGUAAUUGGCUUACCAACUGUUAAGUUGUGUGAACUCGUUCCAUGCCACAAGUCAAGAGGAACUGUUGGGCACCUCGGUUGCUAAGUUAUGCAUCCCCAGUAAUGUCUGGUUGCAAAGGUCAGGUGAGGUUGUUGAGUUUCGAAUGUGUUGUGAUGCCAAACGCUCACUGCCUGCAGAGCUAUGGUUCUUCCUGUGUUCCUGUGCCUCUUCCCUGUUUUUUGGAAGUAUCAGCUCUAUUAACAGUUGGCCAGUUCUUGUGUCUCAAGUUAAGGUACUGCUUACUGUCCUCCCCUCCCCCACCCCCAAGAAUCUUGAACUGCCCCGAUGAUUUCUGUUUCCCUAAAGCCCCUUUAGGACACAUAACUGUCCCUGUUGGGAAUCACUGCUCUAGAUCAACUCCAGUCCAUAAGACAGAAUAUUGCUUCAAAUUUUGGAAUCAUUGUAGUUGCGGAGUCAGAGGAAUACAACGCGAUACAGGCCCUUCGGCCCAACCAGUCCCUGCUGACCAUGAACUCCAGCCAGCUAGUCUCAAUUUCCAGCAUUUGGCCCAUAUCACUCUAAGUCCUUCCCCUCUAUGUACCUAUCCAAGUACUUAAAUAAUACUGUAACACCUGCCUCAACUACUUCCAGCAACCCAUAAACCUCGGUGUGAGAAAGUUGCCCCUCAAGUCCUUUUAAAUCUUUCAUCUCUCACCCUGAAUUGAUCCCUGCUGAAGGGCCGCGGCCAAAAACGUCAACUGUCCUCUUUUCCAGAGAUGCUACCUGGCCUGCUGAGUUCCUCCAGCAUUUUGUGUGUGUUGCCUGAAUCUAUCCCUCCUAGUUUCAGCCUUCCCUGACCUGCCAAAAAGGUUUACUGUUUACCUUAUCCAUGCCUCUCCAAUGCAUAGCAUUGCAAGAGACUAUAGAUGAUUGUAGGCUUAAUUGUCUUCAGUGGCACAACCCUCUGCAUCAUCGUGGACAUCUUCAAAAGAUAAUGUGUCAAGAAGGUGGUAUCCUCUACUAAGGACCCUCACCCAUGUGGAACGCGCGCUCUUCUCAUUACCACAAUUGUGGAAGAAGUACAGGAGGCUAAUAACCCACACUCAGUGAUUUAUGAAUUUCUUUCCCUAUUCCAUCAGUUUUCUAAACAACUACAUUAUUGCUUUUUUUCAGUUAUUUAUUUUGUAAUUUAUAGUAGUUUUAUGUCUUUGCACUAUCCUGCUACCAUAAAACCAAAAAAAUUAAUGUAAACUACAUCAGUAAUAGCAAACCUCAUUCUGAGCAUUACAUCCCAACUUCUGUAUUCAAUACAUUGACUGUCAAAGUCCAAUAUGCAAAAAGCUUUUCUCACCACAUGUUUCUACCUUUGAUUCAAUUUUUAGGGAACCAGGGAUCUGAACUCCAUGGUCCUUCAACUCUGCACCAAACAGCUAUAGGAAAAUGCAUUCUGUAAGUUCCUCAGAGUUGACUAAAGAUGGUCUUCAGGAAGGAAAGUGGCUAAGGACCUCACUGUGAUUUCUGGUCUCCUCUGUUACAAUAAUCUCUUUGCCCAGAGACCCAACUGAUCUUUUCCUCCAGCUGCAUUGAAUUCACUUUUAAGGACUCUACAAGCUAUGUUCUUAGUAUUAUUUGUUAUUUUUUUUAUUUGCACAAUUUGUCACUUUUGGCACAUUAGUUUUUCAUAAAUUCUAUUGUAUUAUUUUCCUGUAAAUUCCUGCAAGAAAAUGAACCUCAGGCUUUGGAACUCAAAGCACCAGGUUCAGGGACAAAGGGACAAUUACUACACCUCAACCAUCAGGCUCUUGAAACAAAGGGGGUAACUUAACUCAACGUCACUUGCCCCAUCACUGAAAUGUUCCCACAAUCAGUGGAGUCAAUUUCAAGGACUCCUCUUCUCAUGUUCUCAAUAUUUAUUAUAUAUUUAUCAUUAUUUCUUUUUUUUUGCAUUUGUUGUUUUCUGCUCUCUGGUUGAGUGCAGUUGGGCAGUCUUUCAUUAAUUCCUUUAUGGUUAUUAUUGAGAAUGCCCACAAGAAAAUGAAUCUCAAGGUUGUAUAUAGAGACAUACAUGCUCUUUAAUAAUAAAAUUACUUUGAACCUUUGAAUUUUGAAUCUCAAGGUAGUAUAUGUUAACAUUCAGUACACACACUUUAUUAAUAAAUUUCCUUUGACUUUGAUGACAAUAUUCCCUCCAGCCCAAAUAGCCUCUCAUUCCCAUAGCUCCUUCACUCUGAUUUCAGUUAGUGAACUUCCCUGAGAAUCACUCUGGUCCAGGUGGGGAAAUGGUGGAAUGUUUUCAUGAUGUUUCUUUUUCAAAAUUCAGUUACCCAACAUCCUACCCAUAGAUGCAAAACUCAGAGCCUCAACAGUCAUAAGGCAACAAACAACAUUAAGAAUAAGGUGCUCAAGCUAUUAGAUAAAUGCCUGUGAUGAUCAGAAAUAUUGAGUGUUCAUUAGGUAGUUGUAACUCCCAAUAUUGAGCUGACCCUUUACUACAUCAAGGAAUAUCCUGAUGCUAUUAAAGAGUUUGGAGCUGUAAUUAUGGUGGUGGCCAAGUUGAAAUCUAAAAAUAAUGUUUGAGUGAGAUAGGGCAUUCAGGCAUUUCAGUCAUUAAGUGCUUCUGUGGCACCUGUUACUUUCAAUAAUAUUUAAAGGACUGGUUUGAAACUUCGGAGAUUCAAGAAUUUGAACACAACAUAUUUUCGUAAGUACAUGGGGAGAACGUUAAUGGCUGCGGCAAAUAGGUUGUCUUUUAGGGUCCCUCUUCUUCUGAUCCCAAAUAGUUCAGUGUCAGCUUUGCUUAGAGGGAGUAUGAUUCCCUUUAAGCCAGGGAACCAUGGCUUCAAACACCAUUCUUUGAGUGGAAUCUUGGCUAGUAGCUUCAAUGUGGUGAGAUGAUAUUAAUUAACGCAGCGGUGAAGGUCUGAACAUGCUGGGGUGUCUCUUCCCGAAGUCUUGCCAACCGAGUCCCAUAUGGUAUCAGUGAACCUUUGAUCAUUUUUGAAGAAGAGCAAUCAGUGAUGGUCAAAAUUAAUCUCCUUAUUAACCCCAUAAGAGAAACUGGCUGCUGUUAUUUGUAGCACUGUGAAUUAAUUUGCUAUCUUGCAAACUGACAUGACAAGGGGCUGAAGGCUGAGAGGGUAUCAGGAGGACAUGAACAGAGUGAGGGGCAGGACCUCCAGCCUGGAGCUGCUCAGUUUUAGCUUUCUACUCAUCAAUCUGUAGAAUGUUCAGAGUUAUAUGUUGUUAUAUUUCACUUUCUCACAACAAAACUGGAGCAACAAUACCCUUCAUAAACACAUCAAUAGUUUCAGAGUACUUUGGGAUAUCGUGGAAAGGAUACAAAAUGUCCUACUUAAUGGAAACCUUCCUAUAUAUUGCUGAACUCAUCUCAUUUGUUGAGUCUCUAAGCUCAAUAAUGUACCAUAUUUGCAAUUGGUUAAGAGUUUUCAAUUCUCAUGAGUUUACUGACAUACUGGCCUUGACUACCUCCCACCAUCCAGACUGCCCACUCGCAAAUUUCUACAGAUGUACCAUCAAAAACAUUCUAACUGGCUACAUCACUGUCUGGUAUGGGGGAGGGGGGCAGUGGCACUGUACAAAAUUGAAAUAAGCUGCAGAAAGUUGUAAACUCAGUCAUCUCCAUCAUGGACACUAGCCUCCUCAGCAUCCAGGUCAUCUUCAAGGAGCGAUACCUCAAAGAAGACAGCAUCUGUACUACGAACCCUCAUCACUCAGGGCAUGCUCUCUUAUUGCUACCAUCAGGGAGGAGGUACAGGAGCCUGAAGGCACAUGCUUAAUGAUUCAGUUACAGCUGCUUUACCUUUGCCAUAAGAUUACUGAACGGACAUUGAACCCAAGAACAUUUCUUUGCUUCUUUUCUUUUCCUCUUUUAGUGCUACUUAUUUAAUUUAACUUUUUAAAUAUAUAUACUUACUGUAAUUUGCAAUGUACUGCUGCCACAUAACAACAAAUUUCACAGCAGUGCUAUUAAACCUGAUCCUAAUUAUGGACAAUCCCCUUGCUUGUUAACUUCACACAUACUCUCCUGCUCCUCUCUCAUCCCAAAUGUAUCUCUCUAGGCUUUUUUGUAUUGUUGCUUACUAAGGAAAAUUAGGGGAAUAGAACUACCCACAAAAUAUUCUUUAUGGAAGGCAGCCAACUCUUCCAGCAUUGAAACAGGCCCUUCAGUCUUUCCAGCCAUCAUACUAUUAGCUUCACACUCUUAAUUCCCAGGAUUCACCUUUCACUUACGGAUAAGAGGCAAUUUACAGUGAUCAACUAAUCUUCCAACCCAGACGGAAGAAACCAUAGCAAAUGAUGAAAACCCACCAGGAUCAAGAACAACUUCUCUCCCACUCUAAGAAGACACUCAAACAGACUGCUGUAUCUUAAAGAUGACCUUGCAAUUUACCUCGUCAAAGCCCUUGCGCAUUAUUGCUUAACUGCACUGCAUUUUCUUGUAACUGUAUAUUCUGUACACAGGGGAUUCUGUACACAGGAUGCUGGAAAUUAUGAGCAAAACACAAAAUACAGGAGGAACUUGGCAGGUCAGUCCAAAUCUAUGGAGAGGAAUAAACAGUCAAUGUUUCAGGCCAAAACACUUCAUCAGGAUUGGAGAGAAAUUGCUUUUUCCUUAUAUUAUCUAAAUAUACUUUUUUUGAAUGAUCUGAAUGGAUGGUAUGCAAAACAAAGUUUUUCACUGUAUCUCAGUUCAUCUGGUAAAAUUAAACAAAUAGCUUAAGUGAAGGAAAUCCCAACAGAACAAACAACAUCUGUAGGAAGAGAAAUCAACUUAACAUCUCAGAAAAGAAGAUAUUAAUUUCUGAUGAAGGGUCUUCUACUUCCAACAUUAACUGUUUCCCGAAGUUCAAAGUAACUUUAUUACCAAAGUACAUAUACACUCAAUGGCUAUUUUAUUAGUUACCUCCUGUACCUAAUAAAGUGGCCAUUGACUGUAUGUUCAAGGUCGUCUGCUGCUGUAGCCCAUCCAUUUCAAGUUUUGACGUGUUAUGUCUUCAGAGAUGCUCUUCUGCACACCACUGUUGUAACACGUGGUUAAUUAAGCUACUGUCAUCUUCCCGCCAGCUUGAACCAGUCUGGCUAUUCUUCUCUGAGCACAUUUACAGGACAUUUUCACUCACAGAACUGCCACUCACUAGAUUUUUUUUGCACCACUAUGUAAGCUCUAAACUCUAUUCAAGAAAAUCCCAGGUGAUCAAAAGCUUCCAUGAUGGAAGUCACUUAGAUCACAUUUCUUCCCCAUUCUGAUAUUCGGCCUGAACAACAACUGAGCCUCUUGAUUCUGUCUGCAUGCUUUUAUGCUUUGAGUUGCUGCCACAUGCCUUUGAGUGGCUGAUUAGACAUUUGCAUUAAAGAGCAGGUGAACAGGUAUACCUAAUAAGGUGGCCACUGAGUGUAUGUCACCAUGUAUUGCUCUGAGAUAUAUUCCAUGCAUUUCUCUCCAUCAAUUCUGUAGUUUCUCUCUCCAUGGAUACCGUCCAACCUGCUGACUAUUCCCAACAUUCUCGUUCUGGAUAAUCAGGAUCAGCAGCUCUGUAGGUGUUCCCAAACAACACCGCAUCAAAAAUUAUACCACAUAAUACACAUAACUCUUUGAGGUGCAUUAAAUUUUAUAUGUUCCACAUCUUUCCUGUUUAUAAAACAUGGCGAUGAGUUGGACAUCAGUCUCGUGUUCUUCCUUGGAUUGCUCAUUUAAGAAAAGAAAACUCUGUCUCCACAAAAUGGAUGAUGAACAGCCCAGAUGUAACUGACAGCAGAAACGGAACAGAACUGCUGUGCUUACAAUGUUUUAUGUGAGUGAGUAAUUAAUGACUUGGUGGUAUAUGGUGUGCUGUGCAAUAUCAGCUCUCCUUAUUAAUUCAUGGGUGAGUCCCACCAUCAGCAAACUUCUCAAAAAUCAGUUACAAACAAUGGAUUUUUUGAACGAUUUUAGUUAAAAGAUACUUAGUGCCAUUAACGUGCAGGCGGAGCCAUUGGAAAGAGCUGCAUGUCCUUCUUAACCAGUUUGAUGAUGUUAAUUACAAGUAAAAUAAAACCUAUGAAGAAAACAAAAUCACCCCCAUUUGUCACCCAGGUAUGAUUCAAAGUUCAAGGUUCAAAGUACAUUAUCAAAGUAUGCGUACAUUAUACAACCAUGAGAUUUGUCUCCUUACAGGCAGCCACAAAACAAUGAAAGCCAACUGAACCCAUUAAAAAAGAGUCAGACAAAUACCCUAUGUACAGAGAGACAGAAACAAAUCAUGCAAAACAAUAAAAAUAGGCACAAACAAGAGAAAAGGUGCAGAUACUGGAAAUCCAAGACACACCCACAAAAUGCUGGAUGGACUCAACAGAUCAGGCAGCAUCUAUGGAAAAGCGUACAGUCGAUUUUUUGGGCUGAGACCC
Long non-coding RNA from Hypanus sabinus (Atlantic stingray), 13919 nucleotides. RefSeq lists it as uncharacterized. The transcript has 2 exons. NCBI's taxonomy places the organism in Eukaryota, Metazoa, Chordata, Chondrichthyes, Myliobatiformes, Dasyatidae. The record is from RefSeq and is a predicted model, not a curated record.